GCGGUCGUGGCGAAAUUGGUAGACGCGCAGCCUUGAGGUGGCUGUGCCGAGAGGCAUGAGAGUUCGAGUCUCUCCGACCGCACCA
RNAcentral lists this transfer RNA (85 nucleotides) under Duodenibacillus massiliensis. Its description in RNAcentral is "tRNA-Leu". It matches the Rfam family "tRNA". From Rfam's summary of the family: Transfer RNA (tRNA) molecules are approximately 80 nucleotides in length. Their secondary structure includes four short double-helical elements and three loops (D, anti-codon, and T loops). Further hydrogen bonds mediate the characteristic L-shaped molecular structure. tRNAs have two regions of fundamental functional importance: the anti-codon, which is responsible for specific mRNA codon recognition, and the 3' end, to which the tRNAs corresponding amino acid is attached (by aminoacyl-tRNA synthetases). tRNAs cope with the degeneracy of the genetic code in two manners: having more than one tRNA (with a specific anti-codon) for a particular amino acid; and 'wobble' base-pairing, i.e. permitting non-standard base-pairing at the 3rd anti-codon position. RNAcentral also lists the same sequence under 2 other names. Lineage: Bacteria; Pseudomonadati; Pseudomonadota; Betaproteobacteria; Burkholderiales; Sutterellaceae. The record is from RNAcentral.